UUGGGAAUAUUGCACAAUGGGCGAAAGCCUGAUGCAGCGACGCCGCGUGAAGGAAGAAGGUUUUCGGAUCGUAAACUUCUUUUUUAGGGGACGAUUGUGACGGUACCCUAAGAAUAAGGACCUGCUAACUACGUGCCAGCAGCAGCGGUAAUACGUAGGGUCCGAGCGUUGUCCGGAUUUAUUGGGCGUAAAGAGCAUGUAGGUGGAUCAAUGUGUCCGAUUUUUAAUCUUCAGGCUCAACUUGAAGCUUGGGUUGGAAACUAUUGAUCUUAGAGGGUAGUUGGGGCAAGCGGAAUUAGUGGAGUAGCAGUGAAAUGCGUUGAUCUCACUAAGAACACCAAUGGCGAAGGCAGCUUGCUAAACUAUCUCUGACACUGAGAUGCGAAAGCGUGGGUAGCGAACG
Molecule: ribosomal RNA, 403 nt
Filed under: uncultured bacterium
Lineage: Bacteria
Description: partial 16S ribosomal RNA
Rfam family: Bacterial small subunit ribosomal RNA
Source: RNAcentral